UGAGGGAUAUUGGUCAAUGGGCGCAAGCCUGAACCAGCGACGCCGCGUGGGUGAAGAAGGUCUUCGGAUCGUAAAGCCCUUUUCCCACUGAAGAGGAAGGACGGUAGGUGGGGAAGAAGUCUCGGCUAACUACGUGCCAGCAGCCGCGGUAAAACGUAGGAGACAAGCGUUAUCCGGAGUUACUGGGCGUAAAGGGCGUGCAGGUGGCGUCUUAAGUCUGUUGUGAAAGCGCCUGGCUUAACCGGGCGAGGCCAAUGGAGACUGAGUGGCUGGAGGACGGCGGAGGGGUGUGGAAUUCGGGGUGUAGUGGUGAAAUGCGUAGAGAUCCGGAGGAACACCAGAGGCGAAGGCGGCACUCUAAGCCGUACCUGACACUGAGACGCGACAGCACGGGGAGCAUACG
Molecule: ribosomal RNA, 403 nt
Filed under: uncultured bacterium
Lineage: Bacteria
Description: bacterial SSU rRNA
Rfam family: Bacterial small subunit ribosomal RNA
Source: RNAcentral